RNAcentral lists this unclassified non-coding RNA (346 nucleotides) under plant metagenome. RNAcentral describes it as "partial contains 5.8S ribosomal RNA, internal transcribed spacer 2, and large subunit ribosomal RNA". The stretch from base 1 to 105 matches the Rfam family "5.8S ribosomal RNA", at positions 50 to 154 of the family's 154-position model. The record is from RNAcentral.
GAAAUGCGAUAAGUAAUGUGAAUUGCAGAAUUCAGUGAAUCAUCAGAUUUUUGAACGCAACUGGCGCUGGUUGGCUAUCCAACCAGCAUGCUUGUUUCAGUGUCUUUUUAACCCCUCACCCAAAUCUUAAUGCGAGAGAUACCCUUCUCUCGUUAAGCAUGAAAGCACUCUGUGCUCUGCGAGCGACUUCGACUUGUUCGAGGGUCGCACUCAAUGCAGCAGUCACAUUGUUCACAAUGUGUAGCCAUUGAGAGCUGAGGCAGUGCGGCCUUACAGCUGCCAGUGCUUAGACACUCAAACUUUUCUUGUAUCUGAAAUCAAGCAGGAUCACCCGCUGAACUUAAGC